This 253-nucleotide ribosomal RNA is filed under the name uncultured bacterium. Its description in RNAcentral is "partial 16S ribosomal RNA". It matches the Rfam family "Bacterial small subunit ribosomal RNA", at positions 524 to 776 of the family's 1533-position model. The record is from RNAcentral.
UACGAAGGGAGCUAGCGUUGUUCGGAAUCACUGGGCGUAAAGCGCACGUAGGCGGAUGUGUCAGUCAGGGGUGAAAUCCCGGAGCUCAACUUCGGAACUGCCCUUGAUACAGCACGUCUUGAGUCCGGAAGAGGUGGGUGGAAUUCCUAGUGUAGAGGUGAAAUUCGUAGAUAUUAGGAAGAACACCGGUGGCGAAGGCGGCCCACUGGUCCGGUACUGACGCUGAGGUGCGAAAGCGUGGGGAGCAAACAGG